GGAUGUAAGGGUGAUCUUGCUGCGAUAUCUGUCACCCCAUUUAUCAUCAGGGUUGAUUCGGCUGAUCUGGGUGGCUAGGUGGGUGUCCCCUUCCUCCCUCACUGCUCCAUCUGCGUCCUUCCCGAAGCUGAGCACUUGGUGGAAGUGGAUGGCCUUCCCGGAAUAGAAACAGACCAGUCUUCUGUCGAGGUAUACAUACAAGUAGCUGCGCUCCCCUGCUAGAACCUCCAAACAAGCUCGCAUUCUCCCUGUGUAUAUUUUAAUUAUUUUAAGAUUUACUUACAUAUUUCAUGAGCUAUAGAA
Erinaceus europaeus (western European hedgehog) is the source of this 303-nucleotide unclassified non-coding RNA. Its record names the gene 7SK. It matches the Rfam family "7SK RNA". Rfam says of the family: 7SK was discovered as an abundant small nuclear RNA in the mid-70s but a possible function has only recently been suggested. Two independent studies have found that 7SK RNA binds the CDK9/cyclin T complex (known as elongation factor P-TEFb). Lineage: Eukaryota; Metazoa; Chordata; Mammalia; Eulipotyphla; Erinaceidae. The record is from Ensembl.